Molecule: ribosomal RNA, 497 nt
Filed under: uncultured bacterium
Lineage: Bacteria
Description: partial 16S ribosomal RNA
Rfam family: Bacterial small subunit ribosomal RNA
Source: RNAcentral
GAUGAACGCUGGCGGCGUGCCUAAUACAUGCAAGUCGAGCGAACAGACGAGGAGCUUGCUCCUCUGACGUUAGCGGCGGACGGGUGAGUAACACGUGGAUAACCUACCUAUAAGACUGGGAUAACUUCGGGAAACCGGAGCUAAUACCGGAUAAUAUAUUGAACCGCAUGGUUCAAUAGUGAAAGACGGUUUUGCUGUCACUUAUAGAUGGAUCCGCGCCGCAUUAGCUAGUUGGUAAGGUAACGGCUUACCAAGGCAACGAUGCGUAGCCGACCUGAGAGGGGGGACGGGCACACCGGAACCUAGAACAGGGCCAGACUCCUACGGGAGGCAGCAGUAGGGAAUCUUCCGCAAUGGGCGAAAGCCUGACGGAGCAACGCCGCGUGAGUGAUGAAGGUCUUCGGAUCGUAAAACUCUGUUAUUAGGGAAGAACAAAUGUGUAAGUAACUAUGCACGUCUUGACGGUACCUAAUCAGAAAGCCACGGCUAACUACGUG